This 422-nucleotide ribosomal RNA is filed under the name uncultured bacterium. Its description in RNAcentral is "bacterial SSU rRNA". It matches the Rfam family "Bacterial small subunit ribosomal RNA", at positions 207 to 622 of the family's 1533-position model. The record is from RNAcentral.
AAGACCUUGCACUUUUGGGGCGGCCGAUGUCUGAUUAGCUAGUUGGUGGGGUAAUGGCCUACCAAAGCUUCGAUCAGUAGCUGGUCUGAGAGGACGGCCAGCCACACUGGGACUGAGACACGGCCCAGACUCCUACGGGAGGCAGCAGUGGGGAAUUUUGGACAAUGGGCGCAAGCCUGAUCCAGCCAUGCCGCGUGAGUGAAGAAGGCCUCGGGUUGUAAAGCUCUUUCAGCCGGGAAGAAAAGGUUGCGACUAAUAAUCGCAAUCCAUGACGGUACCGAAAGAAGGAGCACCGGCUAACUACGUGCCAGCAGCCACGGUAAUACGUAGGGUGCGAGCGUUAAUCGGAAUUACUGGGCGUAAAGGGUGCGCAGGCGGUUUUGUAAGUCAGAUGUGAAAUCCCCGGGCUUAACCUGGGAACU